RNAcentral lists this ribosomal RNA (251 nucleotides) under uncultured prokaryote. Its description in RNAcentral is "partial 16S rRNA". It matches the Rfam family "Bacterial small subunit ribosomal RNA", at positions 525 to 775 of the family's 1533-position model. The record is from RNAcentral.
ACGUAGGGGGCGAGCGUUGUUCGGAUUCACUGGGCGUAAAGGGUGCGUAGGCGGUUUGGCAAGUCCGGCGUGAAUCCUGCAUGCUUAACAUGCAGCCGUCGUCGGAAACUGCCAGGCUAGAGGACGAGAGAGGAGAGCGGAAUUCCAGGUGUAGCGGUGGAAUGCGCAGAUAUCUGGAAGAACACCGGUGGCGAAGGCGGCUCUCUAGAUCGUUUCUGACGCUGAGGCACGAAAGCCAGGGGAGCGAACGG